Molecule: long non-coding RNA, 385 nt
Organism: Asterias rubens (European starfish)
Lineage: Eukaryota; Metazoa; Echinodermata; Asteroidea; Forcipulatida; Asteriidae
Exons: 4
Source: RefSeq, a predicted model, not a curated record
CGCAGCUGAUGUAAGAGAAUUGUACACCCGAUUUAGCACAGCCAAGUUGACAGUGGGAAACUUUGAAGGAGCAGAUGUGAUACAAACGCAACUCCCUAAAUCAUACAGGACAAAUGAAUUUUGUACUCUGUCAGACCCGCUGAUUGAUGUUCGAGAUCCUGAAUUCGGAGCCUUAAGGUUUCUCACUGAAAACAGAGAUCUUUUACCAUUGGCUAACAUUGACUUCCUACAAGAUGCAAGCCAGCGAUAUUCAUCAUCCUAUACAUCUACUGACAGCAGCCCACACCUCAGACUGGAUAAAAUUACACAGAGGUCCCCUCAGACGGUGUCUAGUGCAUCUGAAAUCAGCAUCAGAGAAAUUCCUGCUGAAUUUCUUAAUGUUCAG